GCUGGAGGUCUUGCGCCCCUUUUUACUAUGUGUGUUGCGGAAGGAUGGGGGAAAUAGAUGAUGAUGUGAGCAGGCCUGCAGUGCAGACUAAAUGGGAAGAAAAGGAGGACUCUGCAGAGGUGAAUGAGAGGCACAGACUUCUCAUUGUUUUGGAGGAAAACAGAAUGGUGUGGUAUCCCAGAAGCUAAGACAACAAAGGGUUUCAAGGAGGAAGAGAACAACUGCAUCAACACCAAAUGCUGCUGAGAGGUUCAGGAAGAACUGGACUGAUGAUCUCACACAGGCCUGAGGCUGUGGCCAAGGCAGGAAAAUGUGGGAAUGGCCUUUCUCUGAACGUUGACCUCUGUCACCUGCCAAGCACCUUAUGAUUUCCAGUUGUACCUCCUCACCAGCCUCGCUCAUAGAUAAGCCUUCCUAUCUUAGUAAUAAUUAAAUGUUCUUGUCCGAAACCAAUAAAGAAGGUAAGAGAUU
RNAcentral lists this long non-coding RNA (471 nucleotides) under Equus asinus (donkey). RNAcentral's name for it is "lncRNA (ENSEASG00005030292.1)". Lineage: Eukaryota; Metazoa; Chordata; Mammalia; Perissodactyla; Equidae. The record is from RNAcentral.